CCCCACCUAACACGACUAUAAUCCUUCACCAGGUGCCUUGACACUUCGGCUAUCUCAAAAAGAAAGUAGGAUGCAUGCGCUGCAUUCCUUCUAUCCUAUUUCAGAGACUUGGAGGGGGUGCGCAAGAGAAAAUAGAUUAUAAUACAGUUCAACAAUAUCAAAGUAGUAAAUGAGCGACAAGUAGCACAUAAGGCCAACAAACACAAUAUCAAAAUAAUUAAAGCAAGUAAAGUCAAUAUCAAAAGCUUGAAUUCUUAUAUUGUUCCCGGCAGAGUCGUCAUAGAUGUCACACCCCUUUUUCUCUUGAGAGAGUCAAGUCGAAGAAUUUUUCCAAUUUAAGUGACGAUUUUGAAUAGGGAUUAGUUUAUUUACAGAGUCGCCACUUGGAAUUGAGUUAUGGUGUUCUAAGUCACCUUUUUGAAUCCCCAAUCAAAAGGAAUUGACUCUUUAUUAUGGUCUGCGAAAACAGAAGGUCAGGUAAGAAAUUCUGUUGAUCGAGGGGAAGGUGUGAGGUACCCCUCGAGUCCCGUGGUUCUAGCACGGUCGCUUUUAUUGACUUAUCUUGACUUAAAGUAUUUUGAUGAAUUAUUUUAAAACCUAAAUUUACUCAUUUUUAAUAUACUAAGACUAUUUAAAAACUCUUGUAUUAAAUCGAUAAAAAGUUAAUUUUAGGAAAGUAUUAAAUAAAUCGGUGAAAGUUAAUUCUAGAAAAAUAUUUACCGAGGUGCAUUGUUGCAUCCUUGAAUUUUAAAUGUCUCAGAAAGAUGCAUAUGCCACAUUCUUAAUUGAGACGAAUAUUUUAAAUGUGCCUAAAAUUUAUCUAGCGUUAAAAUGCAUUUGUUUCGUCUCUUGUAAACUCGAGACAAUUUUAUCUUAUUCAAUUUUUUUUUUCUCUUUAUUUUGCAACGACUUUUAGAUUAUUCCGCAACUCACCUCGCUCCCUCACAAAUGAGUUUUUCCUCUCUUUUCUUUUAUCAAUAGCAACGAAUCUUUCUCACAUUAAUUUUUCGAUUAGGAGUUAAGCACAUCCAAAUUCAUAAGUUAUUAUUUAUUUAUUUUUAGAACGAAAUGAUUAUUGCAACAACAACUUCAAAGUAUGCACUAGCUUUACAAGUAUUUUUAAAUAGCAUGUAAAAUUUAUCAAAUAAAACAUAUAGGAAGAAUUAUUUACACUAGUACAUUCUUUAUUACUAAAACAAAGCCAUGCAUCUAAUAAAUUAAUAAAAAUGAAAUACAUUCCUUUAAUCCCACCAAAGUUAACCCACCAGCUAACAAAUCUUAUAUUAACAAUAACUAAAUUCCCACUACAAUUCCUUUGCUUGUUUUAGCACAACAUAUAAUAAAUAGUAGCACUUCUAUUCCACGAUAGGUAAAUAAAAUUUAGUCCAUAGAGGUGAAAAUAUUGUUUGAGUAGCCACAUAAUGCAUGGGCAAGAGAAAUUAAACAUCAAUCAAUUUUCAAAAGAAUGAGUAAUUCUCAAUUAGAAAAAGAAAAAUCACUAAAAGUGAAUUAAGUCCAAACUCAACCCUAGUCAUAAUUCAUUUAUUACCUCCCAUUAUUUAUUUUUUAUACUCCAAUUAUUGGUUAAACUUAGCCACCAACUACAGCCUACGUGUAAAACAAGCAUGUUGCAGUACAUGACUAGUUUGCAAUUUUAAUUGCAAUUCACCCAAACAACAUGUGUAAUUGUCCCCUCACUUCUACAUCAAUUUUUCAUGUAUGUAAUCCACUAUUUGAGCCUUAAUCCAUUGUUUUGUCAUUAAACAAUUAGGAUGCUAGGGAUUAUUUUAAACCUAUAUUUUUAAAAAAUCUGCAUAACUAAAUCCAUGCUAACCUAUGAACAACUCAACUAUUUAAUAUGCUAAUUCCAAGUAACGUUAUAACACACAUAAAACAGGACACAUAACAAAAUAAGUAAACUAUUAAAUCAUAAUACAAAACUUCCUUUACAUAUGCUGAUUCACAACUCAAAGUAACAUAAUCACAUAAACUACUUUAUUCAUGCUUUGGAUUCACAACAAUACUUAUAAAAGUAAAUAGAAAGGAACUGAAUAAGAACAAACCAAGGCGUAAAAGCAAGAAUGUCGUCACCGGUAACUCGAACGAAACUCCGAAUUCUGAACCUGAUUUUUUUUUCUCUUUCUUUUUCUUUCUCUCUGUUUCUGCUUUCCUUCUUCUUAUUUUUCACUCUGUUUUUUCCUUCUUUUCCUGUUUUUUCUCUGUCAUUUUCCGUCUAUGGUUUUCCCUCAAUUUUAGUCUGUUUUUCUGAUAAGGAUCGUACGUAUUUUGGGGAAGUCAGGAAUUUAUACGCUGAUGGGGAAAGAGGUUGAGGGAAGUUGGGAUAUAGAGAGGAUAGGGUAGUUGAG
RNAcentral lists this long non-coding RNA (2366 nucleotides) under Capsicum annuum. RNAcentral describes it as "long non-coding RNA (CANN_LNC010910)". Lineage: Eukaryota; Viridiplantae; Streptophyta; Magnoliopsida; Solanales; Solanaceae. The record is from RNAcentral.